Molecule: small nucleolar RNA, 83 nt
Organism: Malania oleifera
Lineage: Eukaryota; Viridiplantae; Streptophyta; Magnoliopsida; Santalales; Ximeniaceae
Product: small nucleolar RNA snoR128
Exons: 1
Source: RefSeq, a predicted model, not a curated record
UUGCCAUGAUGAGUACCUGAACUUUUUGGAAGGCUUAAUGCAAAUGCCUGAUGAAAUUUGAAUCUGAGCGGUUAACUGAGCAA